GACGAACGCUGGCGGCGUGCUUAACACAUGCAAGUCGAACGGAAAGGCCCUGCUUUUGUGGGGUGCUCGAGUGGCGAACGGGUGAGUAACACGUGAGUAACCUGCCCUUGACUUUGGGAUAACUUCAGGAAACUGGGGCUAAUACCGGAUAGGAGCUCCUGCUGCAUGGUGGGGGUUGGAAAGUUUCGGCGGUUGGGGAUGGACUCGCGGCUUAUCAGCUUGUUGGUGGGGUAGUGGCUUACCAAGGCUUUGACGGGUAGCCGGCCUGAGAGGGUGACCGGCCACAUUGGGACUGGGAUACGGCCCGGACUCCUACGGGAGGCAGAGGUGGGGAAUAUUGCACAAUGGGCGGAAGCCUGAUGCAGCAACGCCGCGUGCGGGAUGACGGCCUUCGGGUUGUAAACCGCUUUCGCCUGUGACGAAGCGUUAGUGACGGUAAUGGGUAAAGAAGCACCGGCUAACUACGUG
Molecule: ribosomal RNA, 468 nt
Filed under: uncultured bacterium
Lineage: Bacteria
Description: partial 16S ribosomal RNA
Rfam family: Bacterial small subunit ribosomal RNA
Source: RNAcentral